RNA transcript from Harpegnathos saltator (Jerdon's jumping ant), 1179 nucleotides. It is a transcript of the gene named vesicle transport protein Sec20, with no coding region annotated. The record is from RefSeq and is a predicted model, not a curated record. NCBI's taxonomy places the organism in Eukaryota, Metazoa, Arthropoda, Insecta, Hymenoptera, Formicidae. The transcript has 4 exons.
UUUCAGCUCCUGUUACGCAGCCCAAAGAAUGUUAUAGCAUUGGUUAACGUCAUCUGCAAAACAAAUUUUAUAUCUUUUUUACACUAGUGCAGAAAGUUCAGUUAAAAAGCACAAACCUAUUCAAUAGAUUCAUUGACAUUCACUGACAACUGUGAUUGCGUUCCAACAUCUACUGCCGAUAUUAAAACUAUACAGUUUAUGUCACAUAUACUAUGGAUAUUCAGUACUGACAGUGAGUAAACGCAACCUAUGAAGUCCGCUUGUGAUUAGCUGCUCAGAGAUUUGUUGUCCACGUAGCAUAUAGAGAGGAGUGACACAGGAAUAAAUAAUUUACAUAGAAAUGGAUUCCGAGAAUUACACGGUAGAACUAAUACGUCAGGAUAUUGUGAAGAAUCAUCUCCAAGUGAAUGCUUUAAUACAAGACAUACAACAAUGCACUGGGCCGCUAGAAGUGUUAGAUGAACUCAAUGCCGAAGGUAGGACCAAAAUUGCGGUGUUAGAAUCCUCCAUAGAGCGAUUAGCGUCUGUCGCUGAAACCGAACCAAAUGAGAAGAAGAAGACUGAGUUGUUGUCCAUUGUUGAGAGUUAUAAGGAGCAAUUGAACGUGUCCUUGGCUGCCUUUCGCAAGGCUAAUGUUGUUAGUGCUUGUGUCAUAGAUAAAUUAGCUAGGGAGAAUCUGCUCUCCCUGCCAGAGGAGCGGCAAAAUGCCCUUCGUAAACGUCGAGACAAGCAAAGUUUGACAGACGCUUCUAGCCAAAUUACAGACAAAUUAUUCAGCAUCGCAAGGCAUCUAGCUGAGACAACUCAGAGAAGUGCUGAUACAUUGGACACAUUGUGUUGUUGUAUUUCUUCUAAUAACCGUUAUCGAAAAAUAAAUUCAGAAACAGCAUUCCAUUAAAAAAAACAAAGGUGACCUUCAAAUCUUGGAAAUCAUCUUAAAAAAAGCGUUACCGCCGGAUCACUUCCGAAGGAUCACUUCUGCACCAUUAACAUCUUCUGAUAAGGUUGAUAACACGAGAAACGAGCUGGAGCAUCAACAGCAAGUGAUAGUGCAAUCGGGAAAGCUCUUGGGAAAAUAUGGUAGACGCGAAGUCACCGAUAAAGCAUUACUUGUACUGGCCUUCGCGUUCUUCCUCGCCUGCGUGUUUUAUAUUUUACAAAAGAGACUGUUCUGAAAGC